AGUGAACGCUGGCGGUAGGCCUAACACAUGCAAGUCGAACGGCAGCACAGUAAGAGCUUGCUCUUACGGGUGGCGAGUGGCGGACGGGUGAGGAAUACAUCGGAAUCUACUUUUUCGUGGGGGAUAACGUAGGGAAACUUACGCUAAUACCGCAUACGACCUACGGGUGAAAGCAGGGGAUCUUCGGACCUUGCGCGAUUGAAUGAGCCGAUGUCGGAUUAGCUAGUUGGCGGGGUAAAGGCCCACCAAGGCGACGAUCCGUAGCUGGUCUGAGAGGAUGAUCAGCCACACUGGAACUGAGACACGGUCCAGCCUCCUACGGGAGGCAGCAGUGGGGAAUAUUGGACAAUGGGCGCAAGCCUGAUCCAGCCAUACCGCGUGGGUGAAGAAGGCCUGCGGGUUGUAAAGCCCUUUUGUUGGGAAAGAAAAGCAGCAGGUUAAUACCCCGCUGUUCUGACGGUACCCAAAGAAUAAGCACCGGCUAACUGCGU
Molecule: ribosomal RNA, 491 nt
Filed under: uncultured bacterium
Lineage: Bacteria
Description: partial 16S ribosomal RNA
Rfam family: Bacterial small subunit ribosomal RNA
Source: RNAcentral